ACUCCAUAGACGCAGAACGGGCACCGGCGGCCGGCGGGAACAUCAGCAGCAGCAGAAGCCAGGCAGGCAUCUCUUUGAGUUGAGCGCGCCGCGCGCGACUUCCCUCCCCUCCCCUUCCCCUCCUUCUCGUCUGCUCAAGCCGCUUGCUGCUAGCUGGCGAUCCGGCUGCGUGCGUGCGUGCGUGUGUGUGUGCUGCCCGCCUAGACGAGACGUCUACUCUCGCGUGCGUUAGAACACGCGCGUUGAUUAUUACGGCUGUGUGCGCUGAUUCAGACAGUAGUCAGUCAGUCAGUCGGACGGACGAUUUUGAACUUCA
This is a long non-coding RNA of Aplysia californica (California sea hare), 316 nucleotides long. RefSeq lists it as uncharacterized. NCBI's taxonomy places the organism in Eukaryota, Metazoa, Mollusca, Gastropoda, Aplysiida, Aplysiidae. The record is from RefSeq and is a predicted model, not a curated record. The transcript has 3 exons.